AAAUGUGUUGUCUACCGAUGCAGACAGCUGCAACAGCUGGCCUCACGCGAUAUUUGCUUCUCUCUUCCACUUCGCGGAGCACGCAGUCGUCGCCAGUGCGUCGUAUAUAUAAGGGACGAGGAGACGCCAGAGCUGCAUCAGUCGUCGUGGCAGCCUCCACCAAGUCUCUCUUGCUCCUCUGUCUCGCUCUCGUGGUUGUGACCACGAUGGCGCAGGAACCUGCAGGCGUCCCAGCUGUCCCUAGCGGAGAUGCCGCCAGCAACCAGGAGCCGGUACAGCCGGUGGUGGGCGACGGAGCUGCUGGGGACCAGGC
Molecule: long non-coding RNA, 313 nt
Organism: Schistocerca cancellata (South American locust)
Lineage: Eukaryota; Metazoa; Arthropoda; Insecta; Orthoptera; Acrididae
Exons: 2
Source: RefSeq, a predicted model, not a curated record